Molecule: non-coding RNA, 107 nt
Organism: Acanthosepion pharaonis
Lineage: Eukaryota; Metazoa; Mollusca; Cephalopoda; Sepiida; Sepiidae
Source: the annotation of a GenBank genome assembly
CAAAUCACGCUGAAACACCGGUUCUCGUUCGAUCACCGAAGUUAAGCAUCGUAGAGCCAGGUCAGUACUUAGAUGGGGGACCGCUUGGGAACACCUGGUACUGUAAG